This 491-nucleotide ribosomal RNA is filed under the name uncultured bacterium. RNAcentral describes it as "partial 16S ribosomal RNA". It matches the Rfam family "Bacterial small subunit ribosomal RNA", at positions 28 to 507 of the family's 1533-position model. The record is from RNAcentral.
GAUGAACGCUAGCGAUAGGCUUAACACAUGCAAGUCGAGGGGUAACGUGUUGGAAGCUUGCUUCCGAUGACGCCGACCGGCGGAUGGGUGCGUAACGCGUAUGCAACUUGCCUCACAGUGGAGAAUAACCCGGAGAAAUCCGGACUAAUACUCCAUACACUCUUAAGCACGCCUGUACAUGAGAGGAAAGAUUUAUCGCUGUGAGAUAGGCAUGCGUCCUAUUAGGUAGUUGGUGAGGUAACGGCUCACCAAGCCGACGAUAGGUAGGGGUGCUGAGAGGCAGAUCCCCCAAAUUGGGACUGAGACACGGCCCAAACUCCUACGGGAGGCAGCAGUGAGGAAUAUUGGUCAAUGGAGGAAACUCUGAACCAGCCAAGUCGCGUGAAGGAAGAAUGUCCUAAGGAUUGUAAACUUCUUUAGCGAGCGAGUAAGGACUUCCACGUGAUGGGAGUUUGAAAGUAGCUCGAGAAUAAGUAUCGGCUAACUCCGUG